This 210-nucleotide unclassified non-coding RNA is filed under the name Hevea brasiliensis (rubber tree). The record is from RNAcentral. Lineage: Eukaryota; Viridiplantae; Streptophyta; Magnoliopsida; Malpighiales; Euphorbiaceae.
GUUUUCCAGUUUUGUGUUUGCACUCUAGAUUUUCCAAGGGAAAUAUCAAAUGGUGAAUAAAAAUACACUUCCAUGACGGUGAAAUUAACCACAGAUUGGUUUUAAUUUUCACUCCAGAUUUUCCAAGGGAAUGAUCAAAUUAAAAGAUAAAUAAGAAUGCACUUGCACAAAGGUCACUAAGUAACCAUGGUGGUUUUAACGCCUUUUAAU